This 94-nucleotide ribosomal RNA is filed under the name Propithecus coquereli (Coquerel's sifaka). Lineage: Eukaryota; Metazoa; Chordata; Mammalia; Primates; Indriidae. The record is from RNAcentral.
AUCUAUGGCCAUACCACCCUGCAUGCACCUGAUCUCAUCUGAUCGGGGAAGCUAAGCAGGGUUGGGCCUGGUUAGUACUUAGAUGGCAGAGAUG